Molecule: non-coding RNA, 458 nt
Filed under: Pterocles gutturalis (yellow-throated sandgrouse)
Lineage: Eukaryota; Metazoa; Chordata; Aves; Pterocliformes; Pteroclidae
Description: Eukaryotic small subunit ribosomal RNA
Rfam family: Eukaryotic small subunit ribosomal RNA
Source: Rfam by way of RNAcentral
CCUUCAGUAGUAUCUCCCCAGUAGUGCAGUGGGCUACAGAACUUUUUCUGCUCACUUAGUAUUCCUAAGAUGACACAUUUUGUAAAUUGUUGCUUAGUAAGUACCAUCACAAGUUGCAAGUAGUCUAUUGGAAUUUUGUUAAAAUGUGUGGCUUCAGAACAGAAUCAAAUUUACAAAAGUUUUUCUGGAGUAGGACUCUAGUUCUAUUUCAUUAUUUUUUGCAAACAGAGCCAUGAUUAAGAGGGAUGGCCCAGGGCAUUUGUGUUGUGCCACUAGGGGUGAAAUUUUUGGAUCAGCACAAGACAGCCUAGAGUGAAAGCAUUUGCCAAGCAUGUUUUCAUUAAUCAAGAAUGAAAGUCUGAGGUUUGAAAAUGAUCAGACACCGUUGUAGUUCCAACCAUAAAAGAUGCCGACUGGUGAGGUUUUUUUUGAGGAGUCUCUGUGGAACAAUGGUUGGU